AACGAACGCUGGCGGCAGGCUUAACACAUGCAAGUCGAGCGCCCCGCAAGGGGAGCGGCAGACGGGUGAGUAACGCGUGGGAAUCUACCCUUUUCUACGGAAUAACGCAUGGAAACGUGUGCUAAUACCGUAUGAGCCCUUCGGGGGAAAGAUUUAUCGGGAAAGGAUGAGCCCGCGUUGGAUUAGCUAGUUGGUGGGGUAAAGGCCUACCAAGGCGACGAUCCAUAGCUGGUCUGAGAGGAUGAUCAGCCACAUUGGGACUGAGACACGGCCCAAACUCCUACGGGAGGCAGCAGUGGGGAAUAUUGGACAAUGGGCGCAAGCCUGAUCCAGCCAUGCCGCGUGAGUGAUGAAGGCCCUAGGGUUGUAAAGCUCUUUCACCGGUGAAGAUAAUGACGGUAACCGGAGAAGAAGCCCCGGCUAACUUCGUGCCAGCCGCCGCCGUAA
This 447-nucleotide ribosomal RNA is filed under the name uncultured bacterium. RNAcentral describes it as "partial 16S ribosomal RNA". It matches the Rfam family "Bacterial small subunit ribosomal RNA", at positions 29 to 523 of the family's 1533-position model. The record is from RNAcentral.